This 377-nucleotide ribosomal RNA is filed under the name Prostomatea sp. Its description in RNAcentral is "partial small subunit ribosomal RNA". It matches the Rfam family "Eukaryotic small subunit ribosomal RNA", at positions 582 to 975 of the family's 1831-position model. The record is from RNAcentral. Lineage: Eukaryota; Ciliophora; Prostomatea.
AUUCCAGCUCCAAUAGCGCAUAUUAAUGUUGUUGCAGUUAAAAAGCUCGUAGUUGAAUUUCUGGUUAAAAUCUUAGCUGGCUUUGGUCGUUGAUGUUUUAAUCAUCCGUUAGAGAACUAUAACCGUCCUUAACUGGUCAUUAUAGAGAUCUAACAUUUUACUUUGAAAAAAUUAGAGUGUUCAAGGCAGGCAAUCGUCAUGAAUACUAUAGCAUGGAAUAAUGGAAUAGGACUUUGGUUCAUUUUAUUGGUUAUUGAACCUUAGUAAUGAUUAGCAGGGACAGUUGGGGGCAUUAGUAUUUAAUUGUCAGAGGUGAAAUUCUUGGAUUUAUUAAAGACUAACUUAUGCGAAAGCAUUUGCCAAGGAUGUUUUCAUCA